UGCCUGGGAUGUACGACAACUCUUGUUAUUUUGAACCUACAUUUACUUUAAACGGGAUUCUUAUAUGAACUUGUGGAUGUCAUGCCUUAUCUACGGAUCAGAGGAAGGCAGAAGCAAGACUGCGGUUACCCACCUAGCAAGCGCGCUAGGAGUCAAAAUACAAGAAACGGCAUUUCGGGUUUU
RNAcentral lists this non-coding RNA (183 nucleotides) under uncultured Eubacterium sp. Its description in RNAcentral is "6S / SsrS RNA". It matches the Rfam family "6S / SsrS RNA". Rfam says of the family: E. coli 6S RNA was the first non coding RNA to be sequenced, but its function was unknown until recently. It consists of 184 nucleotides that fold into an extended hairpin structure with a large single-stranded internal bulge. The record is from RNAcentral. Lineage: Bacteria; Bacillati; Bacillota; Clostridia; Eubacteriales; Eubacteriaceae.